This 233-nucleotide ribosomal RNA is filed under the name uncultured bacterium. Its description in RNAcentral is "partial 16S ribosomal RNA". It matches the Rfam family "Bacterial small subunit ribosomal RNA", at positions 118 to 349 of the family's 1533-position model. The record is from RNAcentral.
UGAGCAAUCUGCCCUUCUCAUCGGAAUAAGCGUUGGAAACGACGUCUAAUGCCGAAUACGACCUCCUUUCGCAUGAUCGGAGGUGGAAAGCUCCGGCGGAGAAGGAUGAGCUCGCGGCCUAUCAGCUAGUUGGUGUGGGUAAUGGCCCACCAAGGCGACGACGGGUAGCCGGCCUGAGAGGGUGACCGGCCACACUGGGACUGAGACACGGCCCACGACUCCUAACCGGGGAC